CCACCUACCUCUCCCACACUCUAGAAAAGUAGUUUCAAAUGCAGUUCUGUAGUUAAGCUACAGGAUUUCACAUCUGACUUACUUUCCCGCCUACGCACUCUUUACGCCCAGUGAUUCCGAGUAACGCUUGCACCCUCCGUAUUACCGCGGUUGCUGGCACGGAGUUAGCCGGUGCUUAUUCGUUAGAUACCGUCAUAAUCUUCUCUAACAAAAGGAGCUUACAAUCCUAAAACCUUCAUCCUCCACGCGGCGUUGCUGCUUCAGGCUUUCGCCCAUUGAGCAAUAUUCCCUACUGCUGCCUCCCGUAGGAGUCUGGACCGUGUCUCAGUUCCAGUGUGUCCGAUCACCCUCUCAGGCCGGAUACCCGUCAUAGCCUUGGUGAGCCUUUAC
Molecule: ribosomal RNA, 390 nt
Filed under: uncultured Helicobacter sp.
Lineage: Bacteria; Pseudomonadati; Campylobacterota; Epsilonproteobacteria; Campylobacterales; Helicobacteraceae
Description: partial 16S ribosomal RNA
Source: RNAcentral